This 301-nucleotide ribosomal RNA is filed under the name uncultured bacterium. RNAcentral's name for it is "partial 16S ribosomal RNA". It matches the Rfam family "Bacterial small subunit ribosomal RNA", at positions 509 to 808 of the family's 1533-position model. The record is from RNAcentral.
CAGCAGCCGCGGGAAUACGUAGGGUGCAAGCGUUAAUCGGAAUUACUGGGCGUAAAGCGUGCGCAGGCGGUUCGCUAAGACAGAUGUGAAAUCCCUGGGCUUAACCUGGGAACUGCAUUUGUGACUGGCGGGCUAGAGUAUGGCAGGGGGGGGUAGAAUUCCACGUGUAGCAGUGAAAUGCGUAGAGAUGUGGAGGAUACCGAUGGCGAAGGCAGCCCCCUGGGCCAAUACUGACGCUCAUGCACGAAAGCGUGGGGAGCAAACAGGAUUAGAUACCCCCGUAGUCCCUGUCUCUUAUACA